UCCCUGAUGGUUCAGGGGUUAGGACUCUGUGCUUCCAUUCCAGGGGGCAUGGGUUCAAUCCCUGGUUAGGGAA
Molecule: transfer RNA, 73 nt
Filed under: Bos taurus (domestic cattle)
Lineage: Eukaryota; Metazoa; Chordata; Mammalia; Artiodactyla; Bovidae
Also listed under: 1 other name
Rfam family: tRNA
About the family: Transfer RNA (tRNA) molecules are approximately 80 nucleotides in length. Their secondary structure includes four short double-helical elements and three loops (D, anti-codon, and T loops). Further hydrogen bonds mediate the characteristic L-shaped molecular structure. tRNAs have two regions of fundamental functional importance: the anti-codon, which is responsible for specific mRNA codon recognition, and the 3' end, to which the tRNAs corresponding amino acid is attached (by aminoacyl-tRNA synthetases). tRNAs cope with the degeneracy of the genetic code in two manners: having more than one tRNA (with a specific anti-codon) for a particular amino acid; and 'wobble' base-pairing, i.e. permitting non-standard base-pairing at the 3rd anti-codon position.
Source: Rfam by way of RNAcentral